Long non-coding RNA from Diabrotica virgifera virgifera (western corn rootworm), 1132 nucleotides. RefSeq lists it as uncharacterized. The transcript is spliced from 2 exons. Lineage: Eukaryota; Metazoa; Arthropoda; Insecta; Coleoptera; Chrysomelidae. The record is from RefSeq and is a predicted model, not a curated record.
CAGGGAUUCUGUGAUAGACUAAACAUGAAGAAGGUAAGAACUACAGCCUAUCACCCGCAAUUGGAUGGAAUUGUACACCGAAUGAAUAAGACAGCUUGUAACGUUACAAACGUCACAUCUUUGAUAUUUUAUUUUUAAAUAAUUAUUUUAUCUUAUUUUCUUUAAUAUUUCAUUAAUCAUUAUCUUCUUCUAAUUGGUUUACCCAUUUUCCCCUUUAAAAAUCGGUUGGCGCUCUCUUUUAUUAUCCUCUUUUAUUAUCCUCUUUUAUUUACUAUAUCUCUUUUUAUUUAAAUCAUCAUCUGAACAUACUGAACGUACCUCGUAUACAUUCUUACUCCGUAAGUAUCUGUAUUUUCAAUACGGAACAUGCCGCUACUUCAUAGUACUUGGUUGUCAUUUUAAACGUCGUUUUCAAUGACAGUGUCACUUCAUCGACUUGACCCCCUACUCCCUGACAUACACUGGAAGGGAAAAAUUAAUCCUUAAAAAGGCAUGUAAUUCCAAAUUUAAAUCAUUUUUCAUUUCAACAAAUCAUCUUCCUCUUGGGGUGAGAAUAAUAUAUUGUAAUUAUAUUUCUCCGUCUAACAGUUUUUCUAAUGUUUUUUUUUUAUCUAACCUAACUUCCAAUGUCAGACCAUGUGUUCUGAUAUUUUAGUUUCAAAUAUAAUUAUCUUUUAAUUUACAUGUAUGCACGUUUAGUAAUCAGAAUUUUAACUAUUCUCAUCUAAAUUUCAUUUGAUUUAUUCUUGUCAUCUGCUACUCUUUCUGACGAUUAGAACGGCAGAUGGCACACGUUGGUUUUUCUUCUUGAUGAUUGAUAUGUGUCUCUAUUUUAUAUUUUUUUGGAAAGAAACCACUUUUCUCCCUCCGGGAGUUUCAACAACCCUCAAAUCGCCGGCGAUACAACAACGAGGACCAUGUCAUCAGGGCUGCAACCACAUAACCAAGACUGCAACGACCAACAUCCGUAGGCCUGGUGGAAUACAACACCUACAACCCCAGAGCCCGUUGCAGAACCAGCAGCAGUACCAUACGACAUCAAGAAGAUACCAUCAGCUACCAAAAGCCAUAAGUAUAAUCCAGAAUUGUUAGUUUUUGGCAAGAAUUUAAAUACAUUUGUUAAUGCAAUUUA